AACGCGAAGAACCUUACCCACCUUUGACAUGUACGGAAUUCGCCAGAGAUGGCUUAGUGCUCGAAAGAGAACCGUAACACAGGUGCUGCAUGGCUGUCGUCAGCUCGUGUCGUGAGAUGUUGGGUUAAGUCCCGCAACGAGCGCAACCCUUGUCAUUAGUUGCUACAUUCAGUUGGGCACUCUAAUGAGACUGCCGGUGACAAACCGGAGGAAGGUGGGGAUGACGUCAAGUCCUCAUGGCCCUUAUAGGUGGGGCUACACACGUCAUACAAUGGCUGGUACAAAGGGUUGCCAACCCGCGAGGGGGAGCUAAUCCCAUAAAACCAGUCGUAGUCCGGAUCGCAGUCUGCAACUCGACUGCGUGAAGUCGGAAUCGCUAGUAAUCGUGGAUCAGAAUGUCACGGUGAAUACGUUCCCGGGCCUUGUACACACCGCUACAGU
Molecule: ribosomal RNA, 441 nt
Filed under: uncultured bacterium
Lineage: Bacteria
Description: bacterial SSU rRNA
Rfam family: Bacterial small subunit ribosomal RNA
Source: RNAcentral